RNAcentral lists this ribosomal RNA (1522 nucleotides) under Salmonella enterica subsp. enterica serovar Abortusequi. RNAcentral's name for it is "bacterial SSU rRNA". It matches the Rfam family "Bacterial small subunit ribosomal RNA". RNAcentral also lists the same sequence under 14 other names. The record is from RNAcentral. Lineage: Bacteria; Pseudomonadati; Pseudomonadota; Gammaproteobacteria; Enterobacterales; Enterobacteriaceae.
AGAGUUUGAUCAUGGCUCAGAUUGAACGCUGGCGGCAGGCCUAACACAUGCAAGUCGAACGGUAACAGGAAGCAGCUUGCUGCUUCGCUGACGAGUGGCGGACGGGUGAGUAAUGUCUGGGAAACUGCCUGAUGGAGGGGGAUAACUACUGGAAACGGUGGCUAAUACCGCAUAACGUCGCAAGACCAAAGAGGGGGACCUUCGGGCCUCUUGCCAUCAGAUGUGCCCAGAUGGGAUUAGCUAGUUGGUGAGGUAACGGCUCACCAAGGCGACGAUCCCUAGCUGGUCUGAGAGGAUGACCAGCCACACUGGAACUGAGACACGGUCCAGACUCCUACGGGAGGCAGCAGUGGGGAAUAUUGCACAAUGGGCGCAAGCCUGAUGCAGCCAUGCCGCGUGUAUGAAGAAGGCCUUCGGGUUGUAAAGUACUUUCAGCGGGGAGGAAGGUGUUGUGGUUAAUAACCGCAGCAAUUGACGUUACCCGCAGAAGAAGCACCGGCUAACUCCGUGCCAGCAGCCGCGGUAAUACGGAGGGUGCAAGCGUUAAUCGGAAUUACUGGGCGUAAAGCGCACGCAGGCGGUCUGUCAAGUCGGAUGUGAAAUCCCCGGGCUCAACCUGGGAACUGCAUUCGAAACUGGCAGGCUUGAGUCUUGUAGAGGGGGGUAGAAUUCCAGGUGUAGCGGUGAAAUGCGUAGAGAUCUGGAGGAAUACCGGUGGCGAAGGCGGCCCCCUGGACAAAGACUGACGCUCAGGUGCGAAAGCGUGGGGAGCAAACAGGAUUAGAUACCCUGGUAGUCCACGCCGUAAACGAUGUCUACUUGGAGGUUGUGCCCUUGAGGCGUGGCUUCCGGAGCUAACGCGUUAAGUAGACCGCCUGGGGAGUACGGCCGCAAGGUUAAAACUCAAAUGAAUUGACGGGGGCCCGCACAAGCGGUGGAGCAUGUGGUUUAAUUCGAUGCAACGCGAAGAACCUUACCUGGUCUUGACAUCCACAGAACUUUCCAGAGAUGGAUUGGUGCCUUCGGGAACUGUGAGACAGGUGCUGCAUGGCUGUCGUCAGCUCGUGUUGUGAAAUGUUGGGUUAAGUCCCGCAACGAGCGCAACCCUUAUCCUUUGUUGCCAGCGGUUAGGCCGGGAACUCAAAGGAGACUGCCAGUGAUAAACUGGAGGAAGGUGGGGAUGACGUCAAGUCAUCAUGGCCCUUACGACCAGGGCUACACACGUGCUACAAUGGCGCAUACAAAGAGAAGCGACCUCGCGAGAGCAAGCGGACCUCAUAAAGUGCGUCGUAGUCCGGAUUGGAGUCUGCAACUCGACUCCAUGAAGUCGGAAUCGCUAGUAAUCGUGGAUCAGAAUGCCACGGUGAAUACGUUCCCGGGCCUUGUACACACCGCCCGUCACACCAUGGGAGUGGGUUGCAAAAGAAGUAGGUAGCUUAACCUUCGGGAGGGCGCUUACCACUUUGUGAUUCAUGACUGGGGUGAAGUCGUAACAAGGUAACCGUAGGGGAACCUGCGGUUG